Ornithorhynchus anatinus (platypus) is the source of this 1030-nucleotide long non-coding RNA. RefSeq lists it as uncharacterized. The transcript is spliced from 4 exons. NCBI's taxonomy places the organism in Eukaryota, Metazoa, Chordata, Mammalia, Monotremata, Ornithorhynchidae. The record is from RefSeq and is a predicted model, not a curated record.
AUUCAUUUGCCAAGCGGGUCUCUUCCGAGAGCCCUUCAUCUCUGCAGAGCCCAGCCUCCUGCCCCCAUCUGCAGGAGGGACCGCUCCAAGUUGAUCUACCAGGUGUGCCUGAAUAAGGCUCAGAGUGGCUGAAGAUAAAGAAGCCUGGGUGGGAGUUGGUAUUUUUGGAAAGGCAGUUCAUCAGCCCACAGCAACAUCUGGCUUGUACCCCUCUGCGCUGAGGAGAGGAUAGCAGGGAAAGUGGUGUGUCUACCUCUGGACUGGCAUAAGGAACAGCUCCAAUCUUCUGCCUGGACCAGAGGCGUUUUCAGCCCAGAGUGACUUCUGAGGUCACAGUCAAAGCUUGGAGAGGCUUUUUGGACCCUGGGGACAGGGCUGGAGUGGGAAACAGCUGUCUCCCCCUGGCUCUCUACAGCAAAGUCCCUGAUUCUACAUGACCUGGCCUGGAGCUGGGUCAUUCAAUUUGACAAGACCAAGACUACCAUCCUGGAUUUUAUUUCUGCCAAUUGGUGUGCUGAUUGUCAGGACCAAAUCCCUCAAUAAGCCAAAGCCAGUAUUUAAAAUUCUUAAAUGAAAAACAAAAAUCCACCGUACCUCCCGUCUCUUAAUUGCCUUCUGAAAGCAGGAGCGAUACAGCUUGUGUAUAACUUUCAAUUAACAGAACAACGAGCUCACACACAGCAAUUUAUCAAGCAAAAUGAUUGUUCCAAAGCAACUGCUGCAAGAGGAAAAAACAACCCUGGAUGGACAUUUUAAUUUCAAUUAAAAGGAGAAUUAUGCAUAAUCUAGAAAUGGCACAAAGGACAGCUAAACCACCACCUGGCCCAGAAAAUCCUCUCCAGCUAAGAGUGACUAUUAUUGAAGUGUGUCAUUGAAAGAGGGCCAGGCUGAGUGCAGAGAAGAUGUCUGGGGGUGGUGCAUGGAAAACAAAGGAUUAGGGAAGAUUAAGCCUUUUGUGAACAAGAGAGGUGAAAUGGAAAACACUUACCUGUCGCUGGCAUUUCUAAUUAAACUGGCACAGCGCUAGCUG